Molecule: ribosomal RNA, 292 nt
Filed under: uncultured bacterium
Lineage: Bacteria
Description: partial 16S ribosomal RNA
Rfam family: Bacterial small subunit ribosomal RNA
Source: RNAcentral
GUGUCAGCAGCCGCGGUAAGACAGAGGUUGCAAACGUUGUUCGGAAUCACUGGGCAUAAAGCGCACGUAGGUGGUCCGCUAAGUCGAUUGUGAAAUUCCCCGGCUCAACCGGGGAACGGCACUCGAUACUGGCGGGCUUGAGGUCCGGAGGGGUGAGUGGAACUCCUGGUGGAGCGGUGAAAUGCGUAGAUAUCAGGAGGAACACCGGUGGCGAAAGCGGCUCACUGGCCGGAAUCUGACACUGAGGUGCGAAAGCUAGGGUAGCAAACGGGAUUAGAUACCCCGGUAGUCC